Molecule: long non-coding RNA, 207 nt
Organism: Capsella rubella
Lineage: Eukaryota; Viridiplantae; Streptophyta; Magnoliopsida; Brassicales; Brassicaceae
Exons: 2
Source: RefSeq, a predicted model, not a curated record
CAUUGCAGAUAUCCGAAAGAAACUUGCGGUUGACAUAUUUGCUGAAUUAGGAAAGACAUAGGACUAUGGAUGACUGCUAAGGAGUAUGGAGAACUAGGACAUAUUUUAUUUUACUUUUGGAAACUAUGUCGAUUUGAAAACACUUGUUGAAAAUAUUAUCUUUUGAAUACUUUUAUCUUUGUUGAGAAUAUUAUAACACUUCAAUCA